AAAAGAACCAGUAUUCUAGAGUCUUAAAGCUAGCAGAAGUACCUGAGUUUUCUGCAGCAAGCUUUCUUUUUUUAUCCUGCUCAGUAUUUUUGGCAGCAAGUUUUGAGUUCGGAAACGUAGCUGAGAGCAAAAGGAGGAUCACCCAUACUUUUAUAUAAGAAAACAGUAUUUGCCCACCAUCCAUCCUUAGUCUUGUUCUGGCGAUUUUAGUUUGCGUUGUGAGGGAGUUUUAAAAAAAGAAGUUGUUAUGAGCUAACAACGCAAUUUGAAGAGU
Molecule: long non-coding RNA, 274 nt
Filed under: Populus trichocarpa (black cottonwood)
Lineage: Eukaryota; Viridiplantae; Streptophyta; Magnoliopsida; Malpighiales; Salicaceae
Description: long non-coding RNA (PTRI_LNC004266)
Source: RNAcentral